RNAcentral lists this unclassified non-coding RNA (258 nucleotides) under Hevea brasiliensis (rubber tree). Lineage: Eukaryota; Viridiplantae; Streptophyta; Magnoliopsida; Malpighiales; Euphorbiaceae. The record is from RNAcentral.
GGUCAUCACUUCCACAAUCUGUAACAUGACCAUACGUUAAUUAUCAUACGAUUGAGAUCAUGAUUCAACUAGUCAUAAUUCAAAAGUGUAGCAUUAAGAAAGCACAACAAUGAAAGAAGGGUUACUGUAUUGCACAGCAGGAAGCUUCUGGUGGCUCAGGAUUUUUUGUGGUGUGGGAAAUGAUAGACAACAAAUUUGCUAUAUUCUUAGAAUGGAAAAGGUUUAUCACCAAGAUGGGUUAAUAGAAUAAAUUCUAAC